This 254-nucleotide ribosomal RNA is filed under the name uncultured bacterium. Its description in RNAcentral is "partial 16S ribosomal RNA". It matches the Rfam family "Bacterial small subunit ribosomal RNA", at positions 524 to 776 of the family's 1533-position model. The record is from RNAcentral.
CACGUAGGGUGCGAGCGUUGUCCGGAAUUAUUGGGCGUAAAGAGCUCGUAGGCGGUGUGUCGCGUCGGCCGUGAAAACCUGCAGCUUAACUGUGGGCUUGCGGUCGAUACGGGCAUCACUGGAGUUCGGCAGGGGAGACUGGAAUUCCUGGUGUAGCGGUGAAAUGCGCAGAUAUCAGGAAGAACACCCGUGGCGAAAGCGGUUCUCUGGAACGGUACUGACGCUGAGGCGCGAAAGCGUGGGGAGCAAACAGG